This 81-nucleotide small nuclear RNA is filed under the name Neogale vison (American mink). Lineage: Eukaryota; Metazoa; Chordata; Mammalia; Carnivora; Mustelidae. The record is from RNAcentral.
UUAGCUGGAACUAUACAGAGAGGAUUAGCAUGGCCCCUGUACAAGAAUGACAUGCAAAUUUAUGAAGUGUUCCAUAAAAAA